GCCGCUUUAGCUCACCUGGGAGAGCGCCAGACUGAAGUUCAACUUUGGUUCUUCUAGCUGAUCAGCUAGUUUUCUGGAGGUACUGUGUUCGACCCACAGAAGCGGCA
Molecule: non-coding RNA, 107 nt
Organism: Delphinella strobiligena
Lineage: Eukaryota; Fungi; Ascomycota; Dothideomycetes; Dothideales; Dothioraceae
Source: the annotation of a GenBank genome assembly